AGAGUUUGAUCCUGGCUCAGAGUGAACGCUGGCGGCGUGCUUAACACAUGCAAGUCGAACGAGAACGGGUUAUAGCUUGCUAUAAUUGACAGCUAAGUGGCGCACGGGUGAGUAAUGUAUAGGUAAUAUGCCUUUUACUAAGGGAUAACAAUUGGAAACGGUUGCUAAUACCUUAUAUACUGUUUAACAGAAGUUAAAUAGGGAAAGAUUUAUCGGUAAGAGAUUGGCCUGUAUUGUAUCAGUUAGUUGGUGGGGUAAUGGCUCACCAAGACUAUGACG
This 279-nucleotide ribosomal RNA is filed under the name uncultured Arcobacter sp. Its description in RNAcentral is "partial 16S ribosomal RNA". It matches the Rfam family "Bacterial small subunit ribosomal RNA", at positions 8 to 281 of the family's 1533-position model. The record is from RNAcentral. Lineage: Bacteria; Pseudomonadati; Campylobacterota; Epsilonproteobacteria; Campylobacterales; Arcobacteraceae.